GGAUUGAGUUAUAACGGGUAAAUAGACGUUGAGUGAGAAGUUAAAGUAAAGAAGAGAUUGGAUUUGGAAAUUGAGUUCUGACUAAGGUUUGUUUUAUCACAUGAACCUUCGAUGACGAUGACGAUGUGAUGAUGACAUAUGAAGGCCCGAGCGAGACGAAGAAGUAAGUUGCCUGAUUUCUUUCCAGAAUAAGCGAAGGACUUCAGGCUAAGCGAGGAGCGAGAUUGGUCUGGUGCUAGUGGGGGAAACGUUUCAAUCGAUGUAAUUAUGUUUUCGUAUUGCCUUCAUGUUAAUAGAGUCUUGAGGAUUGAGAUACUUUGUUUUCUUUUGAAAUCAAGCAAUUUACUCACGGUUAUGUGUCUUCAUACAUGUAAUCGAUUCGCCUUUUGCUGCGAUACUCUGCAUUUUAUGAUUCCUUAUGAAAAAUGAGCUAUACCCGUUUUGUUUU
This is a long non-coding RNA of Salvia miltiorrhiza (redroot sage), 448 nucleotides long. RefSeq lists it as uncharacterized. The transcript has 2 exons. The record is from RefSeq and is a predicted model, not a curated record. Lineage: Eukaryota; Viridiplantae; Streptophyta; Magnoliopsida; Lamiales; Lamiaceae.